This is a long non-coding RNA of Gorilla gorilla gorilla (western lowland gorilla), 447 nucleotides long. RefSeq lists it as uncharacterized. The record is from RefSeq and is a predicted model, not a curated record. The transcript has 2 exons. NCBI's taxonomy places the organism in Eukaryota, Metazoa, Chordata, Mammalia, Primates, Hominidae.
CAUCCCUGAUAUGGAGACAGGGAACCCAAAACACCAAGAGCAGUGGGUGCUUAGGAAGCCACAGAGCUGGGAGUAGAGCCCCAGCAGCCUGAUCCAGAGCCCCUGUUCUUCACCACCACCCUGCCCUCCUCCAGGGAGCACAGUGGGGGUCCUGGAGCCUCUUUCCAUCUGUUGGAUCUCGGUGAGAGACCAGGUGCAAGCAGUUUUCCAAAGCAGGCUGAUCAGAGAAGACCUCCAAUUACGUGUGGGGGAGGGGAAGUGGCCUCACACAGACAUGACCCUGUGCCACCACGAAAGCAGGGACACUGAUGCUGGGUCCUAGGUCUUCUGAGAGCCACCAUUCACUGAUUGCAGGCACGGUGACCCUCCACCCCCAGCCUAGCCUCCCAUUCCCUGCUCUGGCAGAGCUUGUAUGCUAGAAUGAGCUUCCAAAAAUUCCUCCACUCA